RNAcentral lists this ribosomal RNA (394 nucleotides) under uncultured bacterium. Its description in RNAcentral is "bacterial SSU rRNA". It matches the Rfam family "Bacterial small subunit ribosomal RNA", at positions 29 to 417 of the family's 1533-position model. The record is from RNAcentral.
AUUGAACGCUGGCGGCAUGCCUAACACAUGCAAGUCGAACGGCAGCACGGCAGUAGCAAUACUGUGGGUGGCGAGUGGCGGACGGGUGAGGAAUACGUCGGAAUCUGCCCAGUCGUGGGGGAUAACUAGCCGAAAGGUUAGCUAAUACCGCAUACGACCGAGAGGUGAAAGCGGGGGACCGCAAGGCCUCGCGCGAUUGGAUGAGCCGACGUCGGAUUAGCUAGUUGGUGGGGUAAAGGCCCACCAAGGCGACGAUCCGUAGCUGGUCUGAGAGGAUGAUCAGCCACACUGGAACUGAGACACGGUCCAGACUCCUACGGGAGGCAGCAGUGGGGAAUAUUGGACAAUGGGCGGCAAGCCUGAUCCAGCAAUGCCGCGUGUGUGAAGAAGGCCU